Molecule: long non-coding RNA, 227 nt
Filed under: Mytilus galloprovincialis (Mediterranean mussel)
Lineage: Eukaryota; Metazoa; Mollusca; Bivalvia; Mytilida; Mytilidae
Source: RNAcentral
CGUGUGGCCGUCCGUCUGUUAUUCAGUAUUGAGGGGGUCAGUAUUCGUAUGAGAACACAUAUGAAACUUUGCUUACGAUAAUUUUGAAUAAAAACUUAGCUAUUCACAUUUAUUUUGGGGCUCAAUUAUUUAAGCAGAGGAAGUUCCUUUUGUAUUGUGAAUCUUUUAAGAUAUCGGAAAUUCGUUACCGGCUGAAUCAGCUGUUGGAUCCUUUUUUUUAAGUUUCC